UACGAAGGGGGCUAGCGUUGCUCGGAAUGACUGGGCGUAAAGGGCGCGUAGGCGGUUCAUACAGUCAGAUGUGAAAUUCCUGGGCUUAACCUGGGGGCUGCAUUUGAUACGUGUGGGCUUGAGUGAGGAAGAGGGUUGUGGAAUUCCCAGUGUAGAGGUGAAAUUCGUAGAUAUUGGGAAGAACACCGGUGGCGAAGGCGGCGACCUGGUCCGGGACUGACGCUGAGGCGCGAAAGCGUGGGGAGCAAACAGG
This 253-nucleotide ribosomal RNA is filed under the name uncultured bacterium. Its description in RNAcentral is "partial 16S ribosomal RNA". It matches the Rfam family "Bacterial small subunit ribosomal RNA", at positions 524 to 776 of the family's 1533-position model. The record is from RNAcentral.